GACGAACGCUGGCGGCGUGCCUAAUACAUGCAAGUAGAACGCUGAAGGAGGAGCUUGCUCUUCUGGAUGAGUUGCGAACGGGUGAGUAACGCGUAGGUAACCUGCCUGGUAGCGGGGGAUAACUAUUGGAAACGAUAGCUAAUACCGCAUAAUAGUAGAUGUUGCAUGAUAUUCACUUAAAAGGUGCAAUUGCCCCACUACCAGAUGGACCUGCGUUGUAUUCGCUAGUUGGUGGGGUAACGGCUCACCAAGGCGACGAUACAUCGCCGACCUGAGAGGGUGGUCGGCCACACUGGGACUGAGACACGGCCCAGAAUCCUACGGGAGGCAGCAGUAGGGAAACAUCGGCAAUGGACGAAAGUCUGACCGAGCAACGCCGCGUGAGUGAAGGAGGUUUUCGGAUCGUAAAGCUCUGUUGUAAGAGAAGAACGAGUGGGAGAGUAGAAAGUUCACACUGUGACGGUAUCUUACCAGAAAGGGACGGCUAACUACGUG
This 495-nucleotide ribosomal RNA is filed under the name uncultured bacterium. Its description in RNAcentral is "partial 16S ribosomal RNA". It matches the Rfam family "Bacterial small subunit ribosomal RNA", at positions 28 to 507 of the family's 1533-position model. The record is from RNAcentral.